Molecule: ribosomal RNA, 425 nt
Filed under: Verrucomicrobiota bacterium
Lineage: Bacteria; Pseudomonadati; Verrucomicrobiota
Description: Verrucomicrobia bacterium partial 16S ribosomal RNA
Rfam family: Bacterial small subunit ribosomal RNA
Source: RNAcentral
UGAGGAAUAUUGGUCAAUGGGCGAGAGCCUGAACCAGCCACGUCGCGUGAAGGAAGACUGACCUUACGGUUUGUAAACUUCUUUUGGAGAGGGGUAAUGGCAGAUACGUGUAUUUGCGUGAAAGUACUCUACGAAUAAGCAUCGGCUAACUCCGUGCCAGCAGCCGCGGUAAUACGGGGGAUGCGAGCGUUAUCCGGAAUUAUUGGGUUUAAAGGGUGCGCAGGUGGCUAAUCAGGUCAGUGGUGAAAAGCUAUGGCUCAACCAUGGUCUUGCCAUUGAACCCGUAUAGCUAGAGAGGAGACGAGGUAGGCGGAAUGUGUGGUGUAGCGGUGAAAUGCAUAGAUAUCACACAGAACUCCGAUUGCGAAGGCAGCUUACCAGGCUUUAUCUGACACUUAGGCACGACAGCGUGGGGAUCAAACAGG